Molecule: non-coding RNA, 2703 nt
Organism: Sus scrofa (pig)
Lineage: Eukaryota; Metazoa; Chordata; Mammalia; Artiodactyla; Suidae
Source: RefSeq, a predicted model, not a curated record
ACCCACAACCUCAUGGAUACUAGUCAGAAUCGUUUCCACUGCACCACAAAGGGAACUCCUGACAGUUUCUUUAUUCUCCCACUCCCAACACACACACACAUCUUUCUAUUGAUGACAAAAGCACUCCUCAGUCCCAGAGGCUGGCAUGAAUUUACAUCACACCAAUAUUUUUAGAAUCAUCACCUGCAAAGAUAAGCCUGCUUGUUUGUCUUGUCACAGUAGGAAGAUGACUGCCCCUGCAUGAGAUUUCCCACUCCCCUUUAUCUGGGCCUCUGUAACAGCAUGGACCUCCCUGCUUCCACCAUCAGAAUCCCUCAAGGGCAAGAGUCAAAUCUCAAGCAUCUUUGUACCCCAGUACUCUAUGUACUCUGGUGCCUAGUACAUAGUAGAUGCUCAAUACAUGUUUAUUAAUGAAUGGAAUGGUGAUUGGACAAGUUGAUGAAUGAAAAAUGAAUACAUGGUUUGAUGGGUGAGUGAGGGUUAUCGAUAGGUAGAUGAGGGGAUAGAUAGAUGUUUGGGUGGAUGGAUGGAGAGAUGGAUGAAUAGAUAAUUGACUGGGCAGAUGAUGGAUGGUUGGAUGCUAGGUAGAUAGAUGAGCAGUUGGUGAUGAAUAAGUGGAUAAAUAAUUUAUCUUCCUUGCAGCCUUAGGACAAUAAUACCUACUCUCAUUAUCUCCUAAGUAAAGGCCAUGCUGAGAAAUAAUAAUAGUUGCAUAACGUAGCGGGGAGAAAAAAACUUGGGGUCAACAGGUCCGGGUUCUACUCCUAAUUUCACCACAUAGUAGCUGUCUUGACUUGAACACAUCCCUAACUCCUCUGGGCCACCUUCUGUUCAGGCUAAAGUGACAGUGAUUCCCACCACACGAAUCUAGUGGUUGUUAUACAAGAUAAAAUACUAUAUAAAUAACAGUGCUUUGUCCCAGCAAGUGAUGCUGGUUAAAAUGAUGGGCGCUAUAAGUAGCUCUCACCUGGCCGUUGUCCAUAGGUGGGAAUAUAACAUGUCUCUCCAUUAAGCUUUGCAAUCCUGAACCCUAAUCCUCUGCACUCAGAUUCCCCAGUUCCCUAGACUAGGGGUGGCCCACUUGCUCAUCUCCCUCCAGCCACAUCCUAUAGCACCUGUGCCCACGGGAAAUAUGCAGGCAAAGUCCCCGGGACCUAAGCCCACUGUUGUAGGCAAAGCAGGGAGAUGCCUGGGGAAGGCCACCUAGAAGUGCCCUGGGUGAAAGCACACCUUCCCAAGUGCUCCUGUAUUUCUUAGAAAGGUGAUGGCUACAUCCACAAGGCCAAAACCAUUCGUUCAAGCGUCACUUAUUCACUGCGUCCUGUGUGUCAGGCACUGGGAAACAAAGCUGAAUAAAUGCUGGCCCCUGCCAUACAUGAACCCCACUGGUCUGUGCCCUCAGUCGAUCCCUCAAGGGCCUUGUCUGGUCCUGGAGUUCAAGUUCAACCUUGACCACACAGGACCUGGCAGAGUCCAAUACACAGGAGGUGUUCGUGUCACUUCUGCUGCACGAAAGGAGUUCCGUCUAAUGGGGGAGGGAGACCAGCCCACAACAAUUUCACUGGCCACCUACAGAGAGAACUAGAAAAACAAAGGAAGGGCAUCAAUUCAAAACGGGCAAGGUUGGCUCCCCAGAGGAGGUGCCACCUAAGCUGAGUUUGGAGACAGAGAAGAAACAUCAAGGAGGAGGUGGGAGGAGACAGCGUUUGGCAGAAACAAGCUUUUCUCUCUGCCUAACUUCCACCUGCCGCCCUUUGCACAGCUGAUGGGUUUUGUUUUGUUUUGUUCCUUUUUAGGGCUGCACCUGCGGCAUAUGGAAGGUCCAGGCUAGGGGUCAAAUCAGAGCUGUGGCUGCCAGCCUACACCACAGCCACAGCAACCCCGGAUCCUUAGCCCACAGAGCGAGGUCAGGGAUCAAACCCAUGUCCUCUUGGAUACUCGUUGGGUUCUUAACCCACCGAGCCGCAGCAGGGACCCGCACUGACAGAGUUUUUCCUCUCCCAGAGGAAAACAACCUUCAGGGGUCCCACAGAAAGGCCAGUGUGAGCCGUCUGUUCCCUUCACGAGAGCCACCUGUCUGGAGGGCCGGCGGGAACGCACCGUGGCCAUUCCUGCCUGGAUUGAUGAAAAAAGAGAGGGGGUCUCCGAUUCUGACAAAGGGCAGUGACAGGAGGUGAAGAGAGGGUGGAGCAGGUCCUGGGAGGAACCACUUCCAUUCCCGGAAUUUUCUGCAGCUGAGAGCUGGGGCCAGAGUCCAUGGGGCCCAGAGGCAGCCUCUCCUCUGGCUCAGGUUAACUCUGAACAAAGGCACAGAGAGCGCUCACCCUGGAACCUUACGUGCCUCGGAUUUCAGAACAGAUCCAGGGGAACUGCCUCUACUCACCUCUUCUUUGCAUCUCUGAGUCUGGAUUGGGAUCGCUGGACGGCAUGCUGGCCUCCCAUUAGGGCUCCUUCAGGGCAGAGACCAAGUCUCUUCCACCUUCGUAUCCCCAGCAGAGCAAGGCGCCAAGCCACUGCGGGAUUGACUCCCUUCAACAGGAUGAGAAAGUCAAGGUUGCUCCUCAGCUGAAAGCUCCUUUGGGACCUGAGCAUGCUCCCUCUGCAUGAAAAACCACUCCCUUCUUUCUGUUUGCAAAGGGCUUUCACGUGCACUUUAUCACACGCCUUUCCCACCACCCUGGGAGCAGGUAUUAGUCAGUCUAC